Molecule: ribosomal RNA, 500 nt
Filed under: uncultured bacterium
Lineage: Bacteria
Description: partial 16S ribosomal RNA
Rfam family: Bacterial small subunit ribosomal RNA
Source: RNAcentral
AUUGAACGCUGGCGGCAGGCCUAACACAUGCAAGUCGAGCGGUAGAGAGGUGCUUGCACCUCUUGAGAGCGGCGGACGGGUGAGUAAUGCCUAGGAAUCUGCCUGGUAGUGGGGGAUAACGCUCGGAAACGGGCGCUAAUACCGCAUACGUCCUACGGGAGAAAGCAGGGGACCUUCGGGCCUUGCGCUAUCAGGUGAGCCUAGGUCGGAUUAGCUAGUUGGUGAGGUAAUGGCUCACCAAGGCGACGAUCCGUAACUGGUCUGAGAGGAUGAUCAGUCACACGGGAACUGAGACACGGUCCAGACUCCUACGGGAGGCAGCAGUGGGGAAUAUUGGACAAUGGGCGAAAGCCUGAUCCAGCCAUGCCGCGUGUGUGAAGAAGGUCUUCGGAUUGUAAAGCACUUUAAGUUGGGAGGAAGGGUCGUUACCUAAUACGUGACGAUUUUGACGUUACCGACAGAAUAAGCACCGGCUAACUCUGUGCCAGCCGCCGCAGUAA